This is a long non-coding RNA of Triticum urartu, 667 nucleotides long. RefSeq lists it as uncharacterized. The record is from RefSeq and is a predicted model, not a curated record. NCBI's taxonomy places the organism in Eukaryota, Viridiplantae, Streptophyta, Magnoliopsida, Poales, Poaceae.
UGUUGACCCAAAUCCCGUGGAGGCAGCGCACGAACCAAAUCUUCUCCGAGGGCAGAUCCCUACUUCAAGUUGGGUGAGCACUCCUGGUAGAGCUUCCGUUGCAGAUUCCCUUCUGAAGCUUCCGACAUCGGUUGGUUCGUCGCCUCCUCUCUCCAGUAACAGCUAGCGCCCUCCUCCCCCACGUCGGCGGCUAGCCAGUGGUGGUUUCCUCGGCUCCUUCCCCUCCAGCCCGUGCGACGAGGUGGUUCAUUUUCCUGGUGGUAGGCUCCUCGGCUCCUUCCGAACCAACCUGUGUGCCGUGGUGCAAAUCUACAAGGCGUCAACACGAUGGACAAGAAGCUCGAUGAACAAGAAGCACUUCAUCUAGAGGCAACUAUUGUGUGCCAUCAAGAUAGCAACGUCGAUCUAGUUCUUAAUGGCAAUGCUUGCUCAGUGAUGAUUAUCAUAGUCCUUGAGACUUAGCAUAGCCCGCCAUGUACGAAAGUUGAAGCAAUUUUCGCUAGCAAUUCUUGUUGAUCUUGUCAGGUUAUUGAUAGCUCAAUUUGAAUGUCUUCUUGUGUUAUGCCCGGUAUGUUCCAGUUUGACAUGUACUAAAAAAAUGUGCGUGGAUAGACCAGUUUGACAUGCAGUCAAGCAUUAUGUGCCUAUAAUGGUCCAUUUUAACGUA